CGGAAACGGGCGCUAAUACCGCAUACAUCCUGAGGGAGAAAGUGGGGGAUCUUCGGACCUCACGCUAUCAAAUGAACCUAGGUCGGAUUAACUAGUUGGUGGGGUAAAGGCCUACCCAGGCGACGAUCCGUAACUGGUCUGAGAGGAUGAUCAAUCACACUGGAACUGAGACACAGUCCAGACUCCUACGGGAGGCAGCAGUGGGGAAUAUUGGACAAUGGGCGAAAGCCUGAUCCAUCCAUGCCGCGUGUGUGAAGAAGGUCUUCGGAUUGUAAAGCACUUUAAGUUGGGAGGAAGGGCAGUAAGUUAAUACCUUGCUGUUUUGACGUUACCAACAGAAUAAACACCGGCUAACUUCCUGCCAGCAGCCGCGGUAAUACGAAGGGUGCAAGCGUUAAUCGGAAUUACUGGGCGUAAAGCGCGCGUAGGUGGUUCAUCAAGUUGGAUGUGAAAUCCCCGGGCUCAACCUGGGAACUGCAUCCAAAACUACUGAGCUAGAGUACGGUAGAGGGUGGUGGAAUUUCCUGUGUAGCGGUGAAAUGCGUAGAUAUAGGAAGGAACACCACUGGCGAAGGCGACCACCUGGACUGAUACUGACACUGAGGUGCGAAAGCGUGGGGAGCAAACAGGAUUAUAUACCCUGGUAGUCCACGCCGUAAACGAUGUCGACUAUCCGUUGGGAUCCUUGAUAUCUUAGUGGCGCAGCUAACGCGAUAAGUCGACCGCCUGGUGAGUACGGCCGCAAGGAUAAAACUCAAAUGAAUUGACGGGGGGCCCGC
RNAcentral lists this ribosomal RNA (779 nucleotides) under Pseudomonas aeruginosa. RNAcentral's name for it is "bacterial SSU rRNA". It matches the Rfam family "Bacterial small subunit ribosomal RNA", at positions 151 to 924 of the family's 1533-position model. The record is from RNAcentral. Lineage: Bacteria; Pseudomonadati; Pseudomonadota; Gammaproteobacteria; Pseudomonadales; Pseudomonadaceae.